UGAAGUUGGCCUUAAGCCCAGCGGGCAUGC
This 30-nucleotide non-coding RNA is filed under the name Mus musculus (house mouse). The record is from RNAcentral. Lineage: Eukaryota; Metazoa; Chordata; Mammalia; Rodentia; Muridae.